This 339-nucleotide unclassified non-coding RNA is filed under the name soil metagenome. RNAcentral's name for it is "partial contains 5.8S ribosomal RNA, internal transcribed spacer 2, and large subunit ribosomal RNA". The stretch from base 1 to 120 matches the Rfam family "5.8S ribosomal RNA", at positions 35 to 154 of the family's 154-position model. The record is from RNAcentral.
GAUGAAGAACGCAGCGAAAUGCGAUACGUAGUGUGAAUUGCAGAAUUCAGUGAAUCUUCGAAUCUUUGAACGCACAUUGCACCUCUCGGUAUUCCGGGAGGUAUGCCUGUUCGAGCGUCAUUUGUACCCUCAAGCUCUGCUUGGUGUUGGGUGUUUGUUCCGCCUCUGUGUGUGAACUCGCCUCAAAACAAUUGGCAGCCGGCGUACUUGUUUCGGAGCGCAGCACAUUUUGCGAUCCAGAUCAACGUACAGCGGCAUCCAAGAAGCCUUAUUUAACGCUCUUGACCUCGGAUCAGGUAGGGAUACCCGCUGAACUUAAGCAUAUCAAUAAGCGGAGGA